CCAACAACAAGUUUUGGGCCUAUCCCAGGCAACAACAAUCAGCCAACAGUGACCCAUUCCCUCCUUAAUUUUUUUAGCAACACCAGCCCAAUCUUAUGCCUUAACCCGGCCCAGUACCAUGAUUUGCCUCUUUUCUUCAAGAACCUGUACAAUAACAAAGACCCGUUUCAACACCUAUAACUCUUCUCAACCCAAACUUUGAUUCGAAUUGCAAAAAUAACAUCAUGAACCAUCAAUCCAUGUCCAACAAUGAUACACAACUCCAUCCCAUUCCUUUUUCGCUGUUGUCACGUGUUUUGUGCGUUCAUAGAACGGGAAACUCCUUGAACAUUCUAGAACAAGCCAAGGUGUCUCUCCCAACGGCUCAAAUCCAUAAAUUUUGGGAUAACUAAUAUAGAUUCAUACAUAUUUGGUAAAUUUUCAUUGGUUCUUGGGUACAUUUUUGUCUUUCCCACAUUUGAUUGGUUCACUGGUUUUGGAUUUGUGGAAAGAAAAUCCAAAUUGGUUACAACCCUGGGAGGCUAGGGGUUUUGAAUUUUGAAUUCCCUCUGAAAAUCGCUAAAAUUCCCCCCAAUUCCUAUCCUCUAUAUAAGAAUUAAUUAGGUCACAUUUUGGGAGGUUGGAGAAAGAGGUUGAGGAAGUUGGGGUUUGAAAAUUAGGGUUCAAAAAGGGGUUUCUUUGGGUUAGGAGAUUUUUUGAGCUAAUUAGGUCAAAAACCAAAAGAGUGCAAAAAAUUUCUUUGAUUGAGAAGAAGAGCAGGAGGAAAGCAAAGAAAAGGGUUUGGGGAAGCGGGGGAUUCUUAGCUCUCUAUAGAUAAUUUUCCUUCUUGUUUCGAAAUUGGGGUAUGUGAAAAAUGGUGGUUUCAAACCUUUCGCUGAGAAAUUCAAGAGUUUGAAAACUAAGGGUAAGAAUAGAAGAAGGAAAGAAUUUUUUGAUUAAAGAUUCAAUCCGUGCCUAUUAGGAAUUCCGUUCCGGAAAAAUUGGUUUGUCGAUAAAGUUCCGAAUCCAAUUACGAUAGUUUUCUGGUGGUAGCAACUCCAGAAUAAGGUCGAGUUUCAUUUUACUGCACCCUAGAAGGUAAUAUCCUUUUUCGUUCAAGUUUUUGAUAUUUUUUACUUCAUCUCGACUCGCUACAGUUGUAAAUAAUUUUGUCGAUGUUAUUCUUUGCUGGGAGUAGCUGUAGAGGACUAUAUUUGCCUUAAGUUUAGUUUGUGACUUCUUGUUGAGUUAUUUCGUUGAAUCAGUAUCUCUCGCCAUAGUGGUUCAUUUGAACACUCAGUUUCAGAUUCUGAUUUCGUCAAAGUCCGUCAUUCCCUAUUGUUAUUAUAAUUUGAACCUUCAUUUUGGAUUUCUGCUUGAUAAUCCUUUAGCCGAUUUGUUCCAAGCCUGAAGGUAAUCUAUUGAAUUCUAGUCAAUUGUCUCUCCCGAUGAAAUGACCUUCACUUAGUGUUGGCUCAUUGCUUUAAAAACUACUCUGAUUUCAGGUUUUCCCAGAUCAGUGUCAUUAGCAUAAUUUUGCCUAAACAAUUCUAAUCGCAAUUUUAGUUUCAACGAUUUUUUCUCUAAUCUAAUAUGAAAUCUUUUGGUAUGAGAAUUGGUAGAUGGGACUUGGUUUUUGGAAUAAUUGUUGUGAUUAUGAUGUGUUUCUUUUCAAAUUCAGAGCUGCAUUGUAUUUAUCUCUCUUUUAGGACUACUUCUAGUUCCUCUUUUUCUCAUAAUGAUAAGAAGGAAUAUAAGAUAUGUUAUAAUGGUUUCCAAAUAAUUCGUUGGCUUUUUUUUAGAAUACAUUCCAACUUAGUGGUUCUUUGAACUUGUCGAGGAAAGGAUGGGAUGAAUAAAUGAUCAAAACAACGCAUGUUUUCAUAUUAAGUAAAACUGCUUAGGAUUAAUUUCUGGUUCAUCCUCAUUUGAUUUCUUUCCCUCAGGAAAAGUUGUUUUUCCUUUAAAAAUGUGGAGUAUCUUUUCUAUCCUUUACUUAUUUUAGUUUUCGUUUUUCACAUUCUGUGUAAUGUUCUUUAAAGGCUCAAAUUAACCCCCAGUUCCUUGGCUUCUCUUCCUUGAAAUGUAGUUUACAUAGUGGAUUCAUUUGUCUGACUGCUAUUAUUGAUACACGCAUUGUUUAAUUGACUCACUUGAAAGCCAUAUACGUUGCAUAAUCCUAGAGUUCAUGUAAAUUGUUAUAGUCUCCAUGUGUCUAUUUGUGGUAAGUGAGUUGCUAUUUUCUUUGUUAAAAAUAGUCUUUUUCAUUGCCUAAUUUAUCCGCAAGUGUAAAUUUUGAGAAUAUACAUUAAUUCAUUUACCCUUUUCUUUGCAUGAACUUAAUCGGGAGCCCGAUCGGACUCCUUUCCCUUGCAUGAAGCAACUGACCAUCAAGGACCACUUUUUAGAAGACUUUGAAAGUCGAUCACAUGACAUAUGGAUGCAAUAAAAGCCGAGGAAGGAAAACGUGUUAAAGUCCCAUUCUUGAAGCGACGACUAGACCCGAACCUCAUUGCCAUCUAUUUAUUUGUCAUUAUUUAUUAUUAUCAUAUUUAUUUUGUUAAUUAUUCAUUCGAACCUCGAAGCCGAAGUUGUAUCUAAUACAGGUGAAAAUAGACUCGAGCAAAAAGAGGCUCGAACAUGUAGAAUUAGGACAAGUACAAGACGGGCCGAAAGCCCAAUAUCUAGAUUAGGACAGGGUUAUUAAUUUGGGUCUAAUUGCCUAAAUCCCUCUACUUCUCCCUUUUCCCCUUUUACUUUUGCUAAUUUGUUUUAUCUACUUUCUUGCAAACCCAAUCAAAAUCCCUAACUAAGUUGCUAAAAACUAGUUUUGCAUAAACUUCAAAAUAUUUCUUGAAUCGAGUUCUUUCAAAAAUCCAUCUUUUCAGAAGUUAAUCAAAAGAUGUUUUCAAAUAGUCCAGAUAACCGCAAGUUAGCGGAUAUUUUAGGUGCCUAACACCUUCCUAAAACGUUAAUAGGAACCACUUAUCUAGAAUCUUUAACUUAAAAUGAUUUUUCUAUUUUGAAUCGUUUGAAAUAACUCUCUAAAGGUUUCUUAAUUCUUUUCAAAGUUAAGUGGCGACUCUCAAUAAGUCAAAAUUUUUCUGCAAAACAGGCAUCUUCGUGUGCUUGACCCUCGAAUAGACCUUUUAUUUGUAACAUGUGGAGCAUGACACUCGUGACAUGGAACAACCCAUUUCCCUCAGUCGGUGGAGUAUGGAUUACACUCGCACGCCCUGCACCAUGAAGAAGAUACUCAUUCUCGAUAUAUCUAUCAAAUGAUUCUUCAUUGCUCCUAUUACGGCUCAUGGUGUUGUGAUUACUAUGAAAUCACCUAAUAAAAUAAAAAAAACAAACAAUGUAAAUGAAGACACUAUGGGUAAACCCAAAGUUACUAACAACACCAAACAAGUGAAAACUAAGUUUUACUCCCCGAC
This 3416-nucleotide long non-coding RNA is filed under the name Capsicum annuum. Its description in RNAcentral is "long non-coding RNA (CANN_LNC008422)". The record is from RNAcentral. Lineage: Eukaryota; Viridiplantae; Streptophyta; Magnoliopsida; Solanales; Solanaceae.